RNAcentral lists this transfer RNA (72 nucleotides) under Cosmoscarta bispecularis. Its description in RNAcentral is "tRNA-Met". It matches the Rfam family "tRNA". Rfam says of the family: Transfer RNA (tRNA) molecules are approximately 80 nucleotides in length. Lineage: Eukaryota; Metazoa; Arthropoda; Insecta; Hemiptera; Cercopidae. The record is from RNAcentral.
AAAAAGAUAAGCUAAUUUUAAGCUAAUGGGUUCAUACCCCAUAUAUAAAAGUACAAAACCUUUUUCUUUUUA